AACGAACGCUGGCGGCAUGCCUAACACAUGCAAGUCGGACGCGACCUUUCGGGGUCGAGUGGCGCACGGGUGAGUAGCGCGUGGGAACCUGCCCUUCAGUGGGGGAUAACCGAGGGAAACUUCGGCUAAUACCGCAUGCGCCCGGGAGACCGGGGAAAGAUUUAUCGCUGAAGGAGGGGCCCGCGUCGGAUUAGGUAGUUGGUGGGGUAACGGCCCACCAAGCCGAUGAUCCGUAGCUGGUCUGAGAGGAUGAUCAGCCACACUGGGACUGAGACAC
This 277-nucleotide ribosomal RNA is filed under the name uncultured bacterium. Its description in RNAcentral is "partial 16S ribosomal RNA". It matches the Rfam family "Bacterial small subunit ribosomal RNA", at positions 29 to 327 of the family's 1533-position model. The record is from RNAcentral.